AGCCCUCAUCCCCGGCAUGUUGAUCUAGGCCAACGGGAGCCGCUACGACAAUGAGCGCUAAGCCGGUUCAGCCGUGAUUACGGGGGAUGAUUGAGGAGGGGAAAAGGAAGGAAAGGGCAAUGGGAUAUGGUUCAGAGCACCUGAACGGGUUGCGGGUCAAGGAGGCGUCGUCGAGGACGGAGAUUGCGCCGGCCGGCGCAGUGUGUGCUGCUUUAGGCACUAGGAGGAAGACGGGCAUGAGCGAUUGUGCGGGCAUGGGCUGGGCGCUCUCGGGGAAGCUGGCCCAAGAGGAAGAAUGGGUGUUGCCCAAGAAAAAAAAAGAAAAGGAG
RNAcentral lists this long non-coding RNA (329 nucleotides) under Brachypodium distachyon (stiff brome). RNAcentral describes it as "long non-coding RNA (BDIS_LNC003690)". The record is from RNAcentral. Lineage: Eukaryota; Viridiplantae; Streptophyta; Magnoliopsida; Poales; Poaceae.